GGAGGGAGGCAGGAGAGGACCCAGGAAGCUCUAGACAGCAGCUCCGCCAGGUUCCUCUCGCGAUAUCUGAGCGUUGCCAUUAACUCUAGCCCCGCAGGCUAGAGUUCACUCUCCACUGGACCACCAGGGAUGGCACAUGGCAGCAAGGAUCCCCCCUCCCUACAUAAGGUCAGAAGGGAGGGGGGAUAUUUACUAAUCUGCCCCCACCUCCACAAUCCCUCCAAACAUACAGCACACACACACAUACAGCACCCACAGCACCU
This is a non-coding RNA of Pelobates cultripes (western spadefoot toad), 263 nucleotides long. NCBI's taxonomy places the organism in Eukaryota, Metazoa, Chordata, Amphibia, Anura, Pelobatidae. The record is from the annotation of a GenBank genome assembly.